AACGCCGCCGGGCCUACAGCUCCUGGAUGGGAAGUUUUAAAACAAGGAUAAAUAAAAACCAUUCCGUCGAUCUGCAAUCGUCCAGCUCUAGCUAGCUAGCUAGUAGAUGCUGCCAGCAAACGCCUUCUCCUACGGCUGUAGGCGUGCAGUGGCUGCGCCCAAUGCGACUCUGCUGCGCACAGCUACAGUACACGGGCAUGGCACAGUGCACGAAGUACGACCCACUGACGAAAAGGCACUCACCAGACCACCCCAGUAGUACACAUGGUCCGUGCCAGUGCCAUGCCAUUAUUCACAGGCACGCGGAAGUCCGGUACGCUACUCCGGCCGGCGAUACGCUACAGUACCAUACCACUCUCUUUCUCUGGCUGACAACCACAUUCGGUCGCAGAGACGGGCAUACAUUCGCCUUUUGUGUGUCAAGUGUUGAGUAGUACUAAUGUUGGGAGGAUCACGGCUAAACUCCAAGCUUCUCAUUCAGCCUCAACGUGGCAUGCAUGCUAUACUAUACAGCGAGAAAACACAAAACCUAGGAGGUGAUGGAGAUGGAGAUCGAGCGGGAGACAUGACCUCACAAAAUGCGGCUACGAAACAACGGCCAGAACCGCGUUUAAUUAAUCCUGUCAUGUCAUCCAUGACAAAGCCAUACCAGGACGGACGACGGGGUGCUAGUGGUAGAAACAAAAAUUCCAAGCGAAGUGAGGGCGCUAAAAACUGUUACCUCUCCUCAUUGUACGAGUUGGA
RNAcentral lists this unclassified non-coding RNA (744 nucleotides) under Zea mays. RNAcentral's name for it is "misc RNA Zm00001eb008390". Lineage: Eukaryota; Viridiplantae; Streptophyta; Magnoliopsida; Poales; Poaceae. The record is from RNAcentral.